This 282-nucleotide ribosomal RNA is filed under the name uncultured bacterium. Its description in RNAcentral is "partial 16S ribosomal RNA". It matches the Rfam family "Bacterial small subunit ribosomal RNA", at positions 209 to 507 of the family's 1533-position model. The record is from RNAcentral.
UUUUAUGCGCUUUGGGGAGGGGCCUGCGUAACAUUAGCUUGUUGGUGAGGUAAAAGCUCACCAAGGCUUCGAUGUUUAACUGGUUUUGAGAGGAUGACCAGUCACACUGGGACUGAGAUACGGCCCAGACUCCUACGGGAGGCAGCAGUAAGGAAUCUUCCACAAUGGGGCAACCCUGAUGGAGCAAUACCGCGUGCAGGAUGAAGCGUUUCGGCGUGUAAACUGCUUUUAUCACCGAAGAUUAUGACUGUAGGUGAAGAAUAAGGACCGGCUAACUACGUG